UACGGAGGGUGCAAGCAUUAAUCGGAAUUAUUGGGCGUAAAGGGCGCGUAGGCGGAGAUAUAAGUCAGAUGUGAAAUUCCGGAACUCAAUUUCGGAGCUGCAUUUGAAACUAUAUUUCUCGAGGAUUGGCGGAGAGAACGGAAUUCCACGUGUAGCGGUGAAAUGCGUAGAUAUGUGGAAGAACACCGGUGGCGAAAGCGGUUCUCUAGCUAAAACCUGGCGCUGAGGCGCGAGAGCAAGGGGAUCAAACAGG
Molecule: ribosomal RNA, 253 nt
Filed under: uncultured prokaryote
Description: partial 16S ribosomal RNA
Rfam family: Bacterial small subunit ribosomal RNA
Source: RNAcentral